GUGGGGAAUAUUGGGCAAUGGGCGAAAGCCUGACCCAGCAACGCCGCGUGAGGGAAGAAGGGUUUCGGCUCGUAAACCUCUGUCCUAUGGGACGAAGAAGUGACGGUACCAUAGGAGGAAGCCCCGGCUAACUACGUGCCAGCAGCCGCGGUAAUACGUAGGGGGCGAGCGUUGUCCGGAAUGAUUGGGCGUAAAGGGCGCGUAGGCGGCUUGUUAAGCCUGGAGUGAAAGUCCUGCUUUCAAGGUGGGAAUUGCUUUGGGAACUGAUGAGCUCGAGUGCAGGAGAGGAAAGCGGAAUUACCGGUGUAGCGGUGAAAUGCGUAGAGAUCGGUAGGAACACCAGUGGCGAAGGCGGCUUUCUGGACUGAAACUGACGCUGAGGCGCGAAAGCGUGGGGAGCAAACAGGAUUAGAAACCCGAGUAGUCC
This 427-nucleotide ribosomal RNA is filed under the name uncultured Christensenellaceae bacterium. Its description in RNAcentral is "bacterial SSU rRNA". It matches the Rfam family "Bacterial small subunit ribosomal RNA", at positions 354 to 796 of the family's 1533-position model. Lineage: Bacteria; Bacillati; Bacillota; Clostridia; Christensenellales; Christensenellaceae. The record is from RNAcentral.